RNAcentral lists this transfer RNA (94 nucleotides) under Staphylococcus aureus. Its description in RNAcentral is "tRNA-Ser". It matches the Rfam family "tRNA". Rfam says of the family: Transfer RNA (tRNA) molecules are approximately 80 nucleotides in length. Their secondary structure includes four short double-helical elements and three loops (D, anti-codon, and T loops). Lineage: Bacteria; Bacillati; Bacillota; Bacilli; Caryophanales; Staphylococcaceae. The record is from RNAcentral.
GGAGGAAUACCCAAGUCCGGCUGAAGGGAUCGGUCUUGAAAACCGACAGGGGCUCAUAACCCGGCUCGCGGUGGUUCAAAUCCGCCUCCCGCAA